RNAcentral lists this ribosomal RNA (2067 nucleotides) under human metagenome. Its description in RNAcentral is "bacterial LSU rRNA". It matches the Rfam family "Bacterial large subunit ribosomal RNA", at positions 14 to 2106 of the family's 2925-position model. The record is from RNAcentral.
AGGGCGCACGGUGGAUGCCUUGGCACUAGGAGCCGAAGAAGGACGUGACAAACGACGAUAUGCCUUGGGUAGCUGUAAGUAAGCGAUGAUCCAGGGAUUUCCGAAUGGGGGAACCCAACAGGUAAUGCCUGUUACCCAUAUCUGUUAAGGAUAUGAGGAGGAAGACGCAGUGAACUGAAACAUCUAAGUAGCUGCAGGAAGAGAAAGCAAAAGCGAUUGCCUUAGUAGCGGCGAGCGAAACGGCAGGAGGGCAAACCGAAGAGUUUACUCUUCGGGGUUGUAGGACUGCAAUGUGGACUCAAAGACUAUAGAAGAAUGAUUUGGGAAGAUCAGCCAAAGAGAGUGAUAGCCUCGUAUUUAAAAUAGUCUUUGUACCUAGCAGUAUCCUGAGUACGGCGGGACACGAGAAAUCCCGUCGGAAUCUGGGAGGACCAUCUCCCAACCCUAAAUACUCCCUAGUGACCGAUAGUGAACCAGUACCGUGAGGGAAAGGUGAAAAGCACCCCGGGAGGGGAGUGAAAUAGAACCUGAAACCGUGUGCCUACAACAAGUUCGAGCCCGUUAAUGGGUGAGAGCGUGCCUUUUGUAGAAUGAACCGGCGAGUUACGAUAUGAUGCGAGGUUAAGUUGAAGAGACGGAGCCGUAGGGAAACCGAGUCUGAAUAGGGCGCAUUAGUAUUAUGUCGUAGACCCGAAACCAUGUGACCUACCCAUGAGCAGGUUGAAGGUGCGGUAAAACGCACUGGAGGACCGAACCAGGGCACGUUGAAAAGUGCUUGGAUGACUUGUGGGUAGCGGAGAAAUUCCAAACGAACUUGGAGAUAGCUGGUUCUCUCCGAAAUAGCUUUAGGGCUAGCGUCGACAUAGAGAUUCUUGGAGGUAGAGCACUGUUUGGGUGAGGGGUCCAUCCCGGAUUACCAAUCUCAGAUAAACUCCGAAUGCCAAUGAAUUAUGGUCGGCAGUCAGACUGCGAGUGCUAAGAUCCGUAGUCGAAAGGGAAACAGCCCAGACCACCAGCUAAGGUCCCAAAAUAAUUGUUAAGUGGAAAAGGAUGUGGGGUUGCACAGACAACUAGGAUGUUAGCUUAGAAGCAGCUAUUCAUUCAAAGAGUGCGUAAUAGCUCACUAGUCGAGUGACCCUGCGCCGAAAAUGUACCGGGGCUAAAACAAUUUACCGAAGCUGUGGAUACCUUUAUAGGUAUGGUAGGAGAGCGUUCUAUGUGUGAAGAAGGUAUACCGUGAGGAGUGCUGGAACGCAUAGAAGUGAGAAUGCCGGUAUGAGUAGCGAAAGACAGGUGAGAAUCCUGUCCACCGUAAGACUAAGGUUUCCAGGGGAAGGCUCGUCCGCCCUGGGUUAGUCGGGACCUAAGGAGAGACCGAAAGGUGUAUCCGAUGGACAACAGGUUGAUAUUCCUGUACUAGAGUAUGUAGUGAUGGAGGGACGCAGUAGGCUAACUAAAGCAGACGAUUGGAAGAGUCUGUCUAAGCAGUGAGGUGUGAAUUGAGUUAAAUGCUUAAUUCUAUAACAUUGAGCUGUGAUGGGGAGCGAAGUUUAGUAGCGAAGUUAGUGACGUCACACUGCCAAGAAAAGCUUCUAGCGUUUAAACAUACUCUACCCGUACCGCAAACCGACACAGGUAGUCGAGGCGAGUAGCCUCAGGUGAGCGAGAGAACUCUCGUUAAGGAACUCGGCAAAAUGACCCCGUAACUUCGGGAGAAGGGGUGCUGACUUAGGUCAGCCGCAGUGAAUAGGCCCAAGCAACUGUUUAUCAAAAACACAGCUCUCUGCUAAAUCGUAAGAUGAUGUAUAGGGGGUGACGCCUGCCCGGUGCUGGAAGGUUAAGAGGAGUGCUUAGCGCAAGCGAAGGUAUGAAUUGAAGCCCCAGUAAACGGCGGCCGUAACUAUAACGGUCCUAAGGUAGCGAAAUUCCUUGUCGGGUAAGUUCCGACCCGCACGAAAGGCGUAAUGAUUUGGGCACUGUCUCAACGAGAGACUCGGUGAAAUUUUAGUACCUGUGAAGAUGCAGGUUACCCGCGACAGGACGGAAAGACCCCAUGGAGCUUUACUG